UUACGGCCACAUCACGUUGAAAGACAGUUUCCCGUACGAUCACCGAAGUUAAGUCAUGUUGAACCUGCCAGUACUUAGAUGGGUGACCCCUUGGAAAUACCGGGU
This is a non-coding RNA of Acanthosepion pharaonis, 105 nucleotides long. The record is from the annotation of a GenBank genome assembly. NCBI's taxonomy places the organism in Eukaryota, Metazoa, Mollusca, Cephalopoda, Sepiida, Sepiidae.